RNAcentral lists this transfer RNA (74 nucleotides) under Candidatus Peregrinibacteria bacterium. RNAcentral describes it as "tRNA-Ala". It matches the Rfam family "tRNA". From Rfam's summary of the family: Transfer RNA (tRNA) molecules are approximately 80 nucleotides in length. Lineage: Bacteria; Candidatus Peregrinibacteriota. The record is from RNAcentral.
GGGGCUGUAGCUCAGUUGGCUAGAGCACUUGCAUGGCAUGCAAGGGGUCAGGGGUUCAAGUCCCCUCAGGUCCA